AUGAUAAAAAUUAGUGGCAGACGGGUGAGUAAUGCAUAGGAAUCUACCUAGUAGUAUGGGAUAGCCACUAGAAAUGGUGGGUAAUACUGUAUAAUCCCUGCGGGGGAAAGAUUUAUCGCUAUUAGAUGAGCCUAUGUUAGAUUAGCUAGUUGGUAGGGUAAAGGCCUACCAAGGCAGUGAUCUAUAGCUGGUCUGAGAGGAUGAUCAGCCACACUGGAACUGAGAUACGGUCCAGACUCCUACGGGAGGCAGCAGUGGGGAAUAUUGGACAAUGGGCGCAAGCCUGAUCCAGCUAUGCCGCGUGAGUGAGGAAGGCCUUAGGGUUGUAAAACUCUUUCAGUGGGGAAGAUAAUGACGGUACCCACAGAAGAAGUCCCGGCAAACUCCGUGCCAGCAGCCGCGGUAAUACGGAGGGGGCAAGCGUUGUUCGGAAUUAUUGGGCGUAAAGGGCAUGUAGGCGGUUCGGUAAGUUAAAGGUGAAAUGCCAGGG
RNAcentral lists this ribosomal RNA (490 nucleotides) under uncultured Anaplasma sp. RNAcentral describes it as "bacterial SSU rRNA". It matches the Rfam family "Bacterial small subunit ribosomal RNA", at positions 82 to 607 of the family's 1533-position model. The record is from RNAcentral. Lineage: Bacteria; Pseudomonadati; Pseudomonadota; Alphaproteobacteria; Rickettsiales; Anaplasmataceae.